Molecule: ribosomal RNA, 458 nt
Filed under: uncultured bacterium
Lineage: Bacteria
Description: partial 16S ribosomal RNA
Rfam family: Bacterial small subunit ribosomal RNA
Source: RNAcentral
CCUACGGGUGGCAGCAGUGAGGAAUAUUGGUCAAUGGCCGGAAGGCUGAACCAGCCAAGCCGCGUGAAGGACGAAGGUGCUACAUAUUGUAAACUUCUUUUGUCAAGGGACAAAAUCAGGCUCGAGAGCCUGACCGAGCGUACUUGAAGAAAAAGCCUCGGCAAACUCCGUGCCAGCAGCCGCGGUAUACGGAGGAUGCGAGCGUUAUCCGGAUUUAUUGGGGUAAAAGGGUGCGUAGGCGGACUGUUACGUCAGCGGGAAAAGCCCGGGGCUCAACCCCGGCGAGCCGUUGAAACUGGCGGUCUUGAGUAGUGGAGAGGUAUGCGGAAUGCGCGGUGUAGCGGUGAAAUGCUUAGAUAUUACGCAGAACACCGAUUGCGAAGGCAGCAUACCGGCGGCGAACUGACGCUGAGGCACGAAAGCGUGGGGAGCGAACAGGAUUAGAUACCCGUGUAGUC